Molecule: non-coding RNA, 28 nt
Filed under: Mus musculus (house mouse)
Lineage: Eukaryota; Metazoa; Chordata; Mammalia; Rodentia; Muridae
Source: RNAcentral
UGCAAGGUUACUUUUCAGGUGUGUCGGU